This 253-nucleotide ribosomal RNA is filed under the name uncultured bacterium. RNAcentral describes it as "partial 16S ribosomal RNA". It matches the Rfam family "Bacterial small subunit ribosomal RNA", at positions 524 to 776 of the family's 1533-position model. The record is from RNAcentral.
UACGAGUGCCCCAAGCGUUAUCCGGAUUUACUGGGCGUAAAGCGUCCGUAGGCGGUUUGUCGCAUCUCCUGUUAAAUCUACCAGCUCAACUGGUAGGCUGCGGGAGAGAUGGGCAGACUAGAGGAUGGAAGAGGCAAGCGGAAUUGCUGGUGUAGGGGUUAAAUCCGUUAAUAUCAGCAGGAACACCAAAUGCGAAGGCAGCUUGCUAGUACAUUCCUGACGCUCAGGGACGAAAGCGUGGGUAGCGAAUGGG